GACGAACGCUGGCGGCGUGCUUAACACAUGCAAGUCGAACGGAAAGGCCCUGCUUUUGUGGGGUGCUCGAGUGGCGAACGGGUGAGUAACACGUGAGUAACCUGCCCUUGACUUUGGGAUAACUUCAGGAAACUGGGGCUAAUACCGGAUAGGAGCUCCUGCUGCAUGGUGGGGGUUGGAAAGUUUCGGCGGUUGGGGAUGGACUCGCGGCUUAUCAGCUUGUUGGUGGGGUAGGGGCUUACCAAGGCUUUGAAGGGUAGCCGGCCUGAGAGGGUGACCGGCCACAUUGGGACUGAGAUACGGCCCAGACUCCUACGGGAGGCAGCAGUGGGGAAUAUUGCACAAUGGGCGGAAGCCUGAUGCAGCAACGCCGCGUGCGGGAUGACGGCCUUCGGGUUGUAAACCGCUUUCGCCUGUGACGAAGCGUGAGUGACGGUAAUGGGUAAAAAAGCACCGGCUAACUACGUG
RNAcentral lists this ribosomal RNA (468 nucleotides) under uncultured bacterium. RNAcentral's name for it is "partial 16S ribosomal RNA". It matches the Rfam family "Bacterial small subunit ribosomal RNA", at positions 28 to 507 of the family's 1533-position model. The record is from RNAcentral.